This 278-nucleotide unclassified non-coding RNA is filed under the name plant metagenome. RNAcentral's name for it is "partial contains small subunit ribosomal RNA, internal transcribed spacer 1, and 5.8S ribosomal RNA". The record is from RNAcentral.
UUUCCGUAGGUGAACCUGCGGAAGGAUCAUUAUUGUAUAACCGAGGUGCGAGGGCUGUCGCUGACCCGAAAGGUCGUGCACGCCCGAGUGCCCUCACACACAUCCAUCUCACCCCUAUGUGCACCACCGCGUGGGUCCCCCUUUGGCUUGUUCGGAGGGGGGCUUACGUUUUCACACAAACUUUGUAUGCAGUGUAGAAUGUAUUUUUUGUUUUUGCGAUCACGCAAUCAAUACAACUUUCAACAACGGAUCUCUUGGCUCCCGCAUCGAAACGCAGC